RNAcentral lists this non-coding RNA (30 nucleotides) under Rattus norvegicus (Norway rat). The record is from RNAcentral. Lineage: Eukaryota; Metazoa; Chordata; Mammalia; Rodentia; Muridae.
UUGGCUUGUUAAAGUCAGGGGUAUCAUUAG